GGGUGAUGGCGUGCCUUUUGUAGAAUGAACCGGCGAGUUACGUUCCCGUGCAAGGUUAAGGUGAGAAGCCGUAGCCGCAGCGAAAGCGAGUCUGAAUAGGGCGAAUAAGUACGUGGGCGUAGACCCGAAACCGUGUGAUCUACCCCUGUCCAGGGUGAAGGUGCGGUAACACGCACUGGAGGCCCGAACCCACGAAUGUUGAAAAAUUCGGGGAUGAGGUGGGGGUAGCGGAG
This 233-nucleotide ribosomal RNA is filed under the name Paenibacillus sp. VCA1. Its description in RNAcentral is "partial 23S ribosomal RNA". It matches the Rfam family "Bacterial large subunit ribosomal RNA", at positions 591 to 823 of the family's 2925-position model. Lineage: Bacteria; Bacillati; Bacillota; Bacilli; Caryophanales; Paenibacillaceae. The record is from RNAcentral.